GAUGAACGCUGGCGGCGUGCCUAAUACAUGCAAGUCGAGCGAACAGAUAAGGAGCUUGCUCCUUUGACGUUAGCGGCGGACGGGUGAGUAACACGUGGGUAACCUACCUAUAAGACUGGGAUAACUUCGGGAAACCGGAGCUAAUACCGGAUAACAUUUGGAACCGCAUGGUUCUAAAGUGAAAGAUGGUUUUGCUAUCACUUAUAGAUGGACCCGCGCCGUAUUAGCUAGUUGGUAAGGUAACGGCUUACCAAGGCAACGAUACGUAGCCGACCUGAGAGGGUGAUCGGCCACACUGAAACUGAGACACGGUCCAGACUCCUACGGGAGGCAGCAGUAGGGAAUCUUCCGCAAUGGGCGAAAGCCUGACGGAGCACCGCCGCGUGAGUGAUGAAGGGUUUCGGCUCGUAAAACUCUGUUAUUAGGGAAGAACAAACGUGUAAGUAACUGUGCACGUCUUGACGGUACCUAAUCAGAGAGCCACGGCUAACUACGUG
This 497-nucleotide ribosomal RNA is filed under the name uncultured bacterium. RNAcentral describes it as "partial 16S ribosomal RNA". It matches the Rfam family "Bacterial small subunit ribosomal RNA", at positions 28 to 507 of the family's 1533-position model. The record is from RNAcentral.